This 496-nucleotide ribosomal RNA is filed under the name uncultured bacterium. RNAcentral describes it as "partial 16S ribosomal RNA". It matches the Rfam family "Bacterial small subunit ribosomal RNA", at positions 28 to 506 of the family's 1533-position model. The record is from RNAcentral.
GAUGAACGCUGGCGGCGUGCCUAAUACAUGCAAGUCGAGCGAACAGACGAGGAGCUUGCUCCUCUGACGUUAGCGGCGGACGGGUGAGUAACACGUGGAUAACCUACCUAUAAGACUGGGAUAACUUCGGGAAACCGGAGCUAAUACCGGAUAAUAUAUUGAACCGCAUGGUUCAAUAGUGAAAGACGGUUUUGCUGUCACUUAUAGAUGGAUCCGCGCCGCAUUAGCUAGUUGGUAAGGUAACGGCUUACCAAGGCAACGAUGCGUAGCCGACCUGAGAGGGUGAUCGCCCACCCUGGAACUGAGACACGGUCCAGACUCCUACGGGAGGCAGCAGUAGGGAAUCUUCCGCAAUGGGGGAAAGCUUGACGGAGCAACGCCGGGUGAGUGAUGAAGGUUUUCGGAUCGUAAAACUCUUUUAUUAGGGAAGAACAAAUGUGUAAGUAACUAUGCACGUUUUGACGGUACCUAAGAAGAAAGCCCCGGCUAACUACGU